This 1431-nucleotide ribosomal RNA is filed under the name metagenome. RNAcentral describes it as "bacterial SSU rRNA". It matches the Rfam family "Archaeal small subunit ribosomal RNA". The record is from RNAcentral.
GUUGAUCCUGCGGGAGAUCGCUGCUAUUAGGAUUCGACUAAGCCAUGCGAGUCAAGGGGACCUUCGGGUCACCGGCAAAAUGCUCAGUAACACGUCGAUAACAUGCCCUUAGGUCCAAGAUAACCUCGGGAAACUGAGGCUAAGAUUGGAUAGGAGAAUUGUUCUGGAAGGUCUUUUCUCUGAAAGGUUACGCCUAAGGAUUGGUCGGCGGCGGAUUAGGUUGUUGGUGGUGUAACGGACCACCAAGCUUAUGAUCCGUACGGGCCUUGGGAGAGGGAGCCCGGAGAAGGGCACUGAGAUACUGGCCCUAGCCCUACGGGGUGCAGCAGGCGCGAAACCUUUACAAUGCACGAAAGUGUGAUAAGGGAAUCCUAAGUGCUCAUGCAUAGCAUGGGCUUUUGCCAAGAGUAAGAAUCUUGGCGAAUAAGUGGUGGGUAAUACCGGUGCCAGCAGCCGCGGUAACACCGGAGCCACAAGUGGGGAUCAUGAUUAUUGGGCCUAAAGCGUCCGUAGCUGGACUAGUAAAUUUCUUGUGAAAUUGUUCAGCUUAACUGAACAGCGUGCAGGAAAGACUGCUAGUCUUGGAACCGGGAGGGGUUAGGAGUAUUCUUGGGGGAGCGGUAAAAUGCUAUAAUCCCAAGAGGACUACCUGUGGCGAAGGCGCCUAACCAGAACGGGUUCGACAGUGAGGGACGAAAGCUAGGGGAGCGAACCGGAUUAGAUACCCGAGUAGUCCUAGCAGUAAACGCUGCGAGCUAGGUGUUGCGUAUCCUACAUGGAUAUGCAGUGUCGAAAUGAAGAUGUUUAGCUCGCCGCCUGGGAAGUAUGGUCGCAAGGCUGAAACUUAAAGGAAUUGGCGGGGGAGCACCACAAGGGGUGCGGCGUGCGGUUUAAUCUAACUCAACGCAGAGAAUCUCACCAGAGGCGACGGCAGAAUGAAAGUCAGUCUGAAGGGCUUACUUAACAAGCCGAGAGGUGGUGCAUGGCCGCCGUCAGCUCGUGCUGUGAGGUGUCCUGUUAAGUCAGGCAACGAGCGAGAUCUGCACCUACAAUUGCCAUCGGGUUCAUCAGAACGGCCGGGCACAAUGUAGGGACUGCCCUGGAAACAGGGAGGAAGGCGCAGGCUACGGUAGGUCUGUAUGCCCCGAAUCCUCUGGGCUACACGCGCGCAACAAUGGUAGUGACAAUGGGAUGCAACUCCGAAAGGAGAAGCUAAACCUCUAAACCCUAUCCAAGUUCAGAUUGAGGGCUGUAACUCGCCCUCAUGACGAUGGAAUCCCUAGUAAUCGUGAGUCAUCAUCUCACGGUGAAUAUGUCCCUGCUCCUUGCACACACCGCCCGUCAAACCACUCGAGCAGGAUUUAGAUGAGUAUUAGCGUUUAGCUAAUCCGAAUCUAAGUUCAGUGAGAUGGGUUAAGUCGUCACAAGGUA